AGGGUAUAGCACUGAAUAUCUCGAGGGAGUAUGAAAAUAUUUAUCUCAGAUAUUUAAUCUCAAAAUAACUAUUUCUUAAAAUAAAUAAUCAGACUAUGUGGCGAUAAGCUAGAUAGU
RNAcentral lists this ribosomal RNA (117 nucleotides) under Pneumocystis carinii. RNAcentral describes it as "partial large subunit ribosomal RNA". Lineage: Eukaryota; Fungi; Ascomycota; Pneumocystomycetes; Pneumocystales; Pneumocystaceae. The record is from RNAcentral.